CACUGUUCCAAGCCCCACUGGGUCCCUGUGAGCACCUGAGUUGUGGGCUGUGCAGGGAGCAAAGCGGCUUCCUAAGUCCUGCCUGUGGAGCGGCUUCAAGUGAUAGUGUCAACUAUGGGGGUCCAAAGUCAUGCGAGGCUGAGGUCUCCGGUUCCUUCUGAAGCUUCCUGGGGCCAUGGACAUGUCCUCCAAUUCAGCCUGAUGACCUUUGUAUCGCAGAGAACUCCUGUCAGAAGUGCAAAGCCUCCAUUUCAUUGGCUGCCUCAAAAGGAGCUCAUUUUCAUAUUAACAGGUUUUCCAGGGGAGGCACAGGCUCUGUGAGGAACAGAGAGCUGCGGGGUAAACAACCCUCAGAGAAGGAGUCGA
RNAcentral lists this long non-coding RNA (366 nucleotides) under Cavia porcellus (domestic guinea pig). RNAcentral describes it as "lncRNA (ENSCPOG00000035063.1)". The record is from RNAcentral. Lineage: Eukaryota; Metazoa; Chordata; Mammalia; Rodentia; Caviidae.